AGCGAUAGCUGGUUUCUCAAGAAAAGAAUUUAGUCCAACAUAAAAUGAUAUCAAACAAUUUAAUUGCCCCCAUCAUUUUAGAGCAAUUCAAAUGAGGUACAGCCCAUUUGAUUCAGGAUUCAACCUUCACUAACGGGUAACAUAUUCCCCCCCACCCCAAGUAGGCCUAACAGCAGCCACCUUUAAAAAAGCGUCAAAGCUUAACUCUGUGGAUCCAAUUUUUAAAUUUAUAUCGAGCCCUUUUUUAAUAGUGAGAACCUCUAUAGCCCUAUAGAGCUUUUUAUGCUAAGACUAGUAACAAGAGCUAACCACUCUCCUAAAUGCAAAUUUAAUCCAGCAAGAACUAAUCACUGGUAUUUAACGGAAAAGACAAGUUAGAAACUCACACUAGAAAAUCCUAACAAACCCCCCCCGUUAACCUAACACUAGAGCAUUACUGGAAAGAUUAAAAGAAAAAGAAGGAACUCGGCAAACAAUGGCCUCGCCUGUUUACCAAAAACAUCGCCUCUUGUUACCCCUAAGAGGUCCCGCCUGCCCAGUGACUCUGUUCAACGGCCGCGGUAUCCUAACCGUGCAAAGGUAGCGUAAUCACUUGUCUUUUAAAUAAGGACUAGUAUGAAAGGCGCCACGAGGGCUAAGCUGUCUCCUUUUUCUAAUCAGUGAAUCUGAUCCCCCUGUGAAGAAGCA
RNAcentral lists this ribosomal RNA (687 nucleotides) under Pristimantis omeviridis. Its description in RNAcentral is "partial 16S ribosomal RNA". It matches the Rfam family "Bacterial large subunit ribosomal RNA", at positions 841 to 2063 of the family's 2925-position model. The record is from RNAcentral. Lineage: Eukaryota; Metazoa; Chordata; Amphibia; Anura; Strabomantidae.